This 433-nucleotide ribosomal RNA is filed under the name uncultured bacterium. Its description in RNAcentral is "partial 16S ribosomal RNA". It matches the Rfam family "Bacterial small subunit ribosomal RNA", at positions 29 to 507 of the family's 1533-position model. The record is from RNAcentral.
AACGAACGCUGGCGGCAUGCCUAACACAUGCAAGUCGAACGAGACCUUCGGGUCUAGUGGCGCACGGGUGCGUAACGGGUGGGAACCUGCCUUUAGGUUCGGAAUAACUCAGAGAAAUUUGAGCUAAUACCGGAUGAUGUCUUCGGACCAAAGAUUUAUCGCCUUUAGAUGGGCCCGCGUUGGUUUUGCUGGUUGGUGGGGUAAAGGCCUACCAAGGCGACGAGCCAUAGUUGGUCUGAGAGGAUGAUCAGCCACACUGGGACUGAGCCACGGCCCCGACUCCUACGGGAGGCAGCGGUGGGUAAUAUUGGACAGUGGGCCAAAUCCUGCUCCACCAAUGGCGCGUGAGUGAUGAAGGCCUUAGGGUUGUAAAGCUCUUUUACCCGAGAUGAUUAUGACAGUAUCGGGAGAAUAAGCUCCGGCUAACUCCGUG